This is a long non-coding RNA of Raphanus sativus (radish), 551 nucleotides long. RefSeq lists it as uncharacterized. The record is from RefSeq and is a predicted model, not a curated record. NCBI's taxonomy places the organism in Eukaryota, Viridiplantae, Streptophyta, Magnoliopsida, Brassicales, Brassicaceae. The transcript has 3 exons.
UUGUUAAGCAACGAAUGGUCUGAUUUUGUUGUCGGUUCAUCAUGUUAACGUCAUGUAACUCUGCUUUUCUAUAUCAACUGGUUAUUGUAGGGAUCACUUGCGCUGGAAGAUACACUCUCCAAAGAGAUAGAUAUGCUUCAGACUUAUCUUGAAGGAAUUCAUCAGGACUCAAUGUUAGACUUGGUGUUAUCAUCUCUUCCACAAGAAGCACGAUCCAAUCGAACAGAUACAGAUACAUAAGUUUAAUAUCUUGAAAGGAACACUUGGACACUUCAGUCUCACUCCACCUGGUGGCGGAGGAAUCUUAGCACUUUCACUAGCACAUAUGGCAUCGUGGCUCAAGCUAUGCUAUAAUGCUACUACUUAAGAAACAAAAGGAAGUGGACCAAUCUAACGGAGGCGUAAUUACAAACGUCGAUAAUUGUUUGGCCGAGGGCAAACUAGCAGAAGCAGCUGCUGCACUUGAAGAAGGUGUGUUUAAAGGAAGUAAAGCAGAGGAAAUAGUGAAUGAGAAUGGGUGAAACGUGCAAGAAACAGAGCCAUCACAGAAC